AUCUUUGAAUCAAAUAGAUAUAUAUUCAUCCAAAACAAUUUGCAGCUGCACCCAAAAGGCCAAAACACUGAAAAAAAUUUGCAAUUGAGGAAUCUUUGGCCUUCAUUUUCCUGAGUUCCUUCCAUAGGCAGAUUACUUCAACAAACUUAACUUCACUCAUUUUUUCCUUUUUCCCAUUUUGGACUCUUUGCCAACAAGGAAGGAAGAUAAUGUUCAAAUCAUUCCUUCAAAAGGCCGUGUCUAAACAGCUUAGUUAUCAUCCAAAUGUCACUAAACAGCUUUGUCAUCAUCCUUUCCAGUUCCAUGCAGAGAGAGGAAUGCACAGCAGAAAUAAGAAAGCAAUGGAAUUCAUAGCAAAAGGGUGGAAUGCUCUGCAGGAAGUUGAUAGAGUAAUUGAUUAUUGUGAGCGUAAUGAUAAACGUCUUAUUCCUUCACUUAGGACAGCAAAGGAGAAUUUUGAGUUGGCCCUAGAAGCAGACAACUCAAAUACGCAUGCAAGAUAUUGGCUGUCAAAACUUCAUCUCAAGUACCAUGUUCCUGGGGCAUGCAAAGCUGUAGGAGCUGCUUUGUUGGUGGAAGCUGCAGAGAUGGGUGAUCCAGAAGCUCAAUUUGAAUUAGGUUGCCGUUUAAGAGUUGAGAAUGAGUAUGUGCAAUCAGAUCAGCAAGCAUUUUACUACUUGGAGAAGGCUGUUGACCAGUUGCAUCCAGGUGCACUUUACCUCUUAGGUGCUGUGUAUCUUACUGGGGAUUGCGUGAAAAAGGAUGUCGGUUCUGCGUUGUGGUGCUUCCAUAGAGCAUCUCAGAAGGGUCAUGCUGGAGCAGCUAUAGCUUAUGGAUCCCUUCUGCUCACAGGUGUGGAACUUCCAGAAUCAAUAACAAGAUUUUAUGUGAAAAGGGGGCCGUCAAGCAGAAUAUCUAGGAGGAAUGGAGUUGAUCCUGACUUUAAUCCGAUUGAGCUGGCCAGAGAACAAUUUGAAAUUGCUGCAAAAGCAGGAUGCGACCUUGGAUUUAGAUGGUUACAAAGACUUGAUGAGGAAGUGAAACGUCUGCAGUCUUCUUAGUUCACAAAUAUCUGAGACUCUAAAGAGUCGAUUAAUGUGUACCUACAAGGAUUGAUAUUGUGCUGGGAAAGAGUGAUAAUGUGAUGAUGAUGAGCCGAUGGUUGCUGCAGCUGAGAUAUCUGUGGAAUGAUGAGGAUCAUGAGUUACGAGCAAGCUGAUUUUUCUUCGUUUAUUAGUUAUUUGUCCUUAAUUAGGAAAAAAAGUUGAAUGUUUGCUGCAGCUUUUUGGUUAAUGAAGGGAUCGGUUAGAACUUGUUAGGAACAUCGUCUCAUCUUUUAGGAAUGUCUUGUUGCUUAAAAUCUUUUGCCUUUUUGCUGAAUGUAUAUGGCUUGAUCAUGACACGUUGAAAAGUGAAUAAGAGAAGAUUGCUUGUUCGUCUUAAA
This is an RNA transcript of Capsicum annuum, 1444 nucleotides long. RefSeq lists it as uncharacterized. The transcript has 10 exons. NCBI's taxonomy places the organism in Eukaryota, Viridiplantae, Streptophyta, Magnoliopsida, Solanales, Solanaceae. The record is from RefSeq and is a predicted model, not a curated record.